This 407-nucleotide ribosomal RNA is filed under the name uncultured bacterium. Its description in RNAcentral is "bacterial SSU rRNA". It matches the Rfam family "Bacterial small subunit ribosomal RNA", at positions 1078 to 1482 of the family's 1533-position model. The record is from RNAcentral.
GGUUAAGUCCCGCAACGAGCGCAACCCUUGUUUCCUGUUGCCAUCACGUAAAGGUGGGCACUCUGGAGAGACUGCCGGUGACAAACCGGAGGAAGGUGGGGAUGACGUCAAGUCAGCAUGGCCUUUAUGUCCAGGGCUACACACGUGCUACAAUGGCCGAUACAAACCGUCGCAAACUCGCAAGGGUGAGCUAAUCGGAGAAAGUCGGUCUCAGUUCGGAUUGUCGGCUGCAACUCGCCGGCAUGAAGUUGGAAUCGCUAGUAAUCGCGGAUCAGCAUGCCGCGGUGAAUACGUUCCCGGGCCUUGUACACACCGCCCGUCACAUCACGAAAGCUGGCUGUACUAGAAAUCGCUCCGCUAACCCGCAAGGGAGGCAGGCGCUUAAGGUAUGGUCAGUGAUUGGGGUG